RNAcentral lists this ribosomal RNA (405 nucleotides) under Dokdonia sp. Asnod1B02. Its description in RNAcentral is "bacterial SSU rRNA". It matches the Rfam family "Bacterial small subunit ribosomal RNA", at positions 390 to 793 of the family's 1533-position model. The record is from RNAcentral. Lineage: Bacteria; Pseudomonadati; Bacteroidota; Flavobacteriia; Flavobacteriales; Flavobacteriaceae.
AGCCNUGCNCGUGUAGGAAGANUGCCCUAUGGGUUGUAAACUACUUUUAUAUGGGAAGAAUAAGGUCUACGUGUAGACUGAUGACGGUACCAUAAGAAUAAGCACCGGCUAACUCCGUGCCAGCAGCCGCGGUAAUACGGAGGGUGCAAGCGUUAUCCGGAAUCAUUGGGUUUAAAGGGUCCGUAGGCGGGCAUAUAAGUCAGUGGUGAAAGUCUGUGGCUCAACCAUAGAAUUGCCAUUGAUACUGUAUGUCUUGAAUUAUUGUGAAGUGGUUAGAAUAUGUAGUGUAGCGGUGAAAUGCUUAGAGAUUACAUAGAAUACCGAUUGCGAAGGCAGAUCACUAACAAUAUAUUGACGCUGAUGGACGAAAGCGUAGGUAGCGAACAGGAUUAGAUACCCUGGUAG